RNAcentral lists this ribosomal RNA (253 nucleotides) under uncultured bacterium. RNAcentral describes it as "partial 16S ribosomal RNA". It matches the Rfam family "Bacterial small subunit ribosomal RNA", at positions 524 to 776 of the family's 1533-position model. The record is from RNAcentral.
UACGGGGGGGGCAAGCGUUGUUCGGAAUUACUGGGCGUAAAGGGCUCGUAGGUGGCCAACUAAGUCAGACGUGAAAUCCCUCGGCUUAACCGGGGAACUGCGUCUGAUACUGGAUGGCUUGAGUUUGGGAGAGGGACGCGGAAUUCCAGGUGUAGCGGUGAAAUGCGUAGAUAUCUGGAGGAACACCGGUGGCGAAGGCGGCAUUCUGGACCGACAUUGACGCUGAGGAGCGAAAGCCAGGGGAGCAAACGGG